This 512-nucleotide long non-coding RNA is filed under the name Homo sapiens (human). RNAcentral describes it as "HSALNT0280005". The record is from RNAcentral. Lineage: Eukaryota; Metazoa; Chordata; Mammalia; Primates; Hominidae.
UGAAAAGCCAGAAUAGCUUGUGCAAUAAGUAGCUGACAGAUAAAGAAAAAUGGCAACUUUAUGCUUUAAUGGCAAUGUAAACUAUCUAGAAGGAACAUUUAUCAGUUCAACAAGAAUUGAUUUUCUUCACUCUCAACUCCUAUGAACAAGUCUUCACUUUCUAAAAGAGAAAAAUGUAUUCAAACAAAAAUUCCUGAAGUUCUUCACUGCAGGGAGCAUCCUACUGAGCUGUCGAACAAAAACCUCCUAUCCAAGGGAGCACAGGUCAAUAGAAGGCAUCACCUUAAAUGACAAGAGGAGGAGGAAGAGGAGGAGGAGAAGGAAAAGGAGAAAAAAAAGAAGAUGGAGAAGAGAAGUAGGAAGAAGAGGAAAGAAAGAAAAAGAAAUAAGAGAAGGACAAGGAGAAGAAGGAGGAAGAGAGAAAGAAGAAGGAGAAGAGGAAGAGAAAAAAGGGAAGAGGAGGAGGUGGUGAAAAGAAAUAGGAAGAAGAAACAAAAAUAAGAUCACAAUAA